UCCUGUAUUAUUCAUUAGAGAAUUCUAAGCAAUGGUGCUUGUCUAAUCUAAACGUUCUCCAUCAAAAUAUUGGGACUUCGCAGACCCGAGCCGAUUAACCUGAUUAUUGUUUGGAUCCAACGAAAAAAAAUUCCGUUGUAUGUCUUGAGAACGAAGGGUCAGCGGUAAUCCACUAACCUCGCUGGGGAGUAGCCAUUGGCAGAAAACUUGGGAAGUCUGCUGACCGGAGUAAGGAUGAUCGAGGGCGCAGGUGUCUUUGGCUGUUUGCUUCGCUCUGCGUACCAGUCCCUCUCGCGCCGCAAACGUUCGAUUUCAUCAUUGCGUAUCUGGUGAGUUAGAAUAACAAACGGCUCCUUAAUUAUCGUUUACAUACAGCCCUUUAUUAUUAUUGUUUACAUACAGCCCUUUAUUAUUGUUUACAUACAGCCCUUUUUUAUAUUUUACAUACAGCCCUAUGUUAUUGUUUACAUACAUCCCUUUGUUAUUGUUUACAUGUGUAUGAAAACCCCAUAACGAGUACCAUCAACAAGAGUAAUUUAUGUAUGUAUUUAUUUUUUUUUAGGGGGAGGGGGUGACAUACCUCGUAUUUUCUUGUGAACUUUUUGAGCUCACCAUUGACCACGUAAUGCUAGGAGAAAAAUAUAAAUAAAUCAAUACAAAGGAGAAUAAUCAUUAUAGGGUUGACAAUAAUAUUUAUAGGGUUGAUAAUAAUAUUUAUAGGGUUGAUAAUAAUAUUUAUAGGUUUAACAAUAAUCAUUAUAGGGUCCAAAUCGCUGGAGAUUGUCAUUUAAUCGACCGGAGUAAACUGGUGACAGCGCCGCUUUUUAAAGCUUAUUAAAAUAAGCGAAUGACAAAAGUGAACAAAAAACAUUAUUGCUCGCGCAGCGAUCAUGUCGAUUUGGGUUUCCUGUGGAACAGGCCGCCGCCAUCUUGGAGACUAAAUCUCCCGUCCCCUCUCCGAUGCGCAAUUAGUAGUCUACGUGCGGUGCCUUUCCAGCUUCGAUUUGGACGGCGUCUGUCUGUCUGUCUGUCUGUCUGUCUGUCUGUCUGUCUGUCUGUCUGUCUGUCUGUCUGUCUGUCUGUCUGUCUGUCUGUCUGUCUGUCUGUCUGUCUGUCUGUCUGUCUGUGAAUACCAAGAUUUGGGCUACCUUUGGCAGUCAGCGAUACAAAAGCGGCCAUGAUUUUUCGCACGUGCCCUGUGAUUACGAUAAUGUUGAAAGCUUCUUCUUCGAUUUAAACCGAGAAUACGAUGGCGAAAUCAAAGAAUUAUUUGGUAAAUAUGACGACUUAUGAUACGAUGUUUUACGGGGUUUGCUUAUCAUGGCUUUCGAAGUUUGUCAUUUGAUGAUAAAAGAACCGAUUAACUUUAAGCGGAUACUCAAACUAGCCCUGAGCCUUAAAGGCAAAGCGAAAGGUAUUCAAACAGCUCAAAUCCCACUGUACUGUAAGACAUAAAAUAGUUUUUUCUUCGAUACUGGGUUUGCAGUAUUUUAUAAUUUGAGUCUAUUUUUCCACAGCAAUGUCCAGUCCAGAACUACUAUGAUAGCAAAUCAUUGCCC
This is a long non-coding RNA of Nematostella vectensis (starlet sea anemone), 1559 nucleotides long. RefSeq lists it as uncharacterized. The transcript has 2 exons. Lineage: Eukaryota; Metazoa; Cnidaria; Anthozoa; Actiniaria; Edwardsiidae. The record is from RefSeq and is a predicted model, not a curated record.